CAGUAGCCGCGGUAACACGUAGGGUGCAAGCGUUAAUCGGAAUUAUUGGGCGUAAAGCGAGUGCAGACGGUUACUUAAGCCAGAUGUGAAAUCCCCAAGCUUAACUUGGGACGUGCAUUUGAAACUGGGUGACUAGAGUGUGUCAGAGGGAGGUAGAAUUCCACAUGUAGCAGUGAAAUGCGUAGAGAUGUGGAGGAACACCGAUGGCGAAGGCAGCCCCCUGGGCCAAUACUGACGCUCAUGCACGAAAGCGUGGGGAGCAAACAGGAUUAGAUACCCCCGUAGUCCCUGUCUCUUAUAC
RNAcentral lists this ribosomal RNA (301 nucleotides) under uncultured bacterium. RNAcentral's name for it is "partial 16S ribosomal RNA". It matches the Rfam family "Bacterial small subunit ribosomal RNA", at positions 509 to 807 of the family's 1533-position model. The record is from RNAcentral.